GAUGAACGCUGGCGGCGUGCCUAAUACAUGCAAGUUGAGCGAACGGACGAGAAGCUUGCUUCUCUGAUGUUAGCGGCGGACGGGUGAGUAACACGUGGAUAACCUACCUAUAAGACUGGGAUAACUUCGGGAAACCGGAGCUAAUACCGGAUAAUAUUUUGAACCGCAUGGUUCAAAAGUGAAAGACGGUCUUGCUGUCACUUAUAGAUGGAUCCGCGCUGCAUUAGCUAGUUGGUAAGGUAACGGCUUACCAAGGCAACGAUGCAUAGCCGACCUGAGAGGGUGAUCGGCCACACUGGAACUGAGACACGGUCCAGACUCCUACGGGAGGCAGCAGUAGGGAAUCUUCCGCAAUGGGCGAAAGCCUGACGGAGCAACGCCGCGUGAGUGAUGAAGGUCUUCGGAUCGUAAAACUCUGUUAUUAGGGAAGAACAUAUGUGUAAGUAACUGUGCACAUCUUGACGGUACCUCAUCAGAAAGCCACGGCUAACUACGUG
Molecule: ribosomal RNA, 497 nt
Filed under: uncultured bacterium
Lineage: Bacteria
Description: partial 16S ribosomal RNA
Rfam family: Bacterial small subunit ribosomal RNA
Source: RNAcentral